Long non-coding RNA from Sander lucioperca (pikeperch), 2445 nucleotides. RefSeq lists it as uncharacterized. Lineage: Eukaryota; Metazoa; Chordata; Actinopteri; Perciformes; Percidae. The record is from RefSeq and is a predicted model, not a curated record. The transcript is spliced from 2 exons.
UCAUAUUGGACCGUUUUCCCUUUACUCAGAUGAAUGUAUUCAUUGUUUAACAACCAUUGCUUUUAUAAUGGUUGUGUGUGUGAUGACGUUUCUUUGGGCCAUUGUGCAUCGCCUGACCUGCGAUUCCGACCGUGGCCACCUCACCUCACAGCCCAGCACUGAUCCUGGGCGGUUGAGCUGCGUCCCAAUCCCAUACUACAUACUAAUUGUAAGCAGGUUUUCAUUAUGUAGUGUGUUCACAGUGGAAAGGCUAUUAAAUAAAGUAUAUUCAAAACAGUCAGCAUGCAUAUUAAAAUCCCUGGAUUUUUGAGUGUGCUUUUGAUGUGCACUUUUCUCCAAGAAGUCAGUGCUCAAAGGAAAUGGAGGAGCUGUUCAGAGCUAAAAAAAAAAAAAUCCAAAGUAAUUCUUGAUGAUGAAACAGCUUCAGAAAGACUUAAAGACAAGAAGACAGAAAACAAAAAUAUAAUCUGAAGUUGCAUUCAUAUUGACAUUAAAAGUCCUAAUAAUUUCUUAUAUAAUAAAAAACAAAAGCAGUUUAAAAUAACUAUAAAAAAAAAAUAGUACAGAGUAUAUAUACUGUACAUGGUACAUGGAAUUGGGACACAGCUUUGGCGUCAGGCCUGUCCAGGGUGUACCCUGUCUCACACGUAGUGCAUGCUGGGAUAGGCACCCUCCAAAGGAUAACAGGGUGUAGAUGAUGGAUGGACUGUACAGUUUAUAAUCUGGUUGCCUCAAAAACAACAUUUUAAUGAUGAUUAUCAGCAAUAUAUUAAUAUGUCACAUGCAUAUGUGUGCAUGUGAUCAAAUCUAAAAGCAAGUCGGCUCAGAUCCACUUAGGCAAUACAACGGGUGCCUACACAACACAAUAUAAUUUGGACCCAGUUCAGUUAAUAGAAACUGUCUGGAACUGUGAAGACCUCUAGUGCUUUGUUCUCUAGUGUUCUCUUGCACAUUUUAGCUGCAAAAUCUCUGAAAGUCCUUAAGGAGUGUUGAUAGCAGGCAGUCAGCAGAAGAAUGAACAACUGUAGAGAAGCUCUGACUACUGUUUCAACAAAGAAUCAGACUUUAAUGGAGAAAAAGAGGUUAAUUGAAUCUGGUGGGAGCAGUGGCUUAGUGUGCAGGUGUGUGUUCAUGGCUGUAACGGCACGCUUGAUGUCUCAGAAGAGCUAUUCAGCUGCAAACCAAGAAAAUUUAAAUGCUCCUCCGUGAGAAAAAAUGUUCUUCACUGCCAUUUUACUAAGGUCUGCUCCUCACAGACAGCUUUCUACAGGUAAACACAUGUUGGCAGGCUAAUUAGCAUCGCCCGGCUAACAGAGAAACCUGUGUUCUGGGUGACAGGCUACCCAUCUACACCAAUACCCAUAUGAAGCACUUAAUAAUGCAGUCAGACUUUUCAGUCACUAAACUCUAUUCCCUCAUCAGGAGGGCUAACUCUGGAUCAGUAUUCUGGUACGGCACAGACCUCAAGAAAGUUUUUUUUUUUUUUGACUUAAUCUGAAUAUUUUAAAAAUGAAUCUAAAAUGUCCGCCAUCAGUACCUUGGCUGAAGUGUAGCCCUCAAAAAAUGAAAACACGUAUAGCCACUUUCAAACUUGUUUUGCCGGUGUUGGGAGAAGUUAAAAAACACCUCUGAGUUAAAUUCUGCUGACAGAUUUACUGUAUUUUGAAAAAAAAAAAAUCUGUUUAGCACUUAAUACACAGAUGUACUGUGGCUACAUUUAACUGUCAAUGAAAACUACCUUGUUAGCAGAGAGGGCUAUAAUGUAGAUGAGGCGGGUAUAGAAACCAAUACAUGUCAUAGAGAUGGAGGCGACAGUAAUCCUGUAGAGUAGGUCUUUGUAACGGGGAUAGAGCUAAUCAUGUCCUGUGUCAGUUAACAAGGUCAGAAGGGACAGCCAGGGUGGAAUUCUUCAUUUCAGUGUCCGUUUUUCCUCUAUGAUAAUGAAUAUCCUCAACACAACCUUUACAUCUCGCCAGCUCUCUGCUGCUCCCAGACAUAUAUUAAUACAUGCAAUGCAAACAUUUUCUUUCCGUAUUAGAUUUAAAUCUCUGGCUUAAUAUCAGUCAAUAUCAAUUUGUGGCUGAACAUUUGGCACUCCUUCAAAAUGAGAUUCUCUCCAUUCGGGAAUGCAAAUUGGUGCAAGUCAAAGAGCUGCAGCAGUUCCUGUGUUGCCCAUCUGUCCCCAUGUCCUCUUCCAAUCAGGCAGCAGCUGGCGAGGUCCCAUCUGUAUCUGUUCUAGUGGUUUUCUGUUUCAAUGUUUUUACGCUACACACUACAAUAAAGUGUUCCCCUUGUUGAUAUACCCCUCCCCACCUGACAAUAAUUAUCAAAUCUUUAAAUAUUAUCAUGUUAAGAGUAUACUUUAUGCAAAUAUAUGAGUAUGAUGAGUGUAUUGUAUGUAUCCGCAGUGAAAUAUUUUUAAAAUAAAAUUAUUUGUUUCUGUCA